Non-coding RNA from Vicugna pacos (alpaca), 485 nucleotides. The record is from RefSeq and is a predicted model, not a curated record. Lineage: Eukaryota; Metazoa; Chordata; Mammalia; Artiodactyla; Camelidae.
AAAGAGACGCUGAAAUUAAUCACAUGGAGUUUCUUUCUCUUUUUCCAUAUGAGUAUUUUUUGCAAAGCAACAUGGUAAGGUAAUAAAAAUCUGAUUCAGAGAACUGAAGUGUUGACACAGAACUGUAAUCAGACACACUGCAGCAACAAAACACACAAUGACUGCGUCAUCUGCUUGGAAAAGCAAAAGACACAGAUCCGUCUACUAACAGUGCCCACAAGUCACUGUGCCCGGAACAGACACAGAGGUGAGAGCAGCGUGAACACAGCCCGCCCACCGCUCACCUGCGUGCUUUCUCCAGUUCGUUCCUGACGGGACGGGGGUGAGAGCCAUGGGUCCUCUCAGCAUCGACAGGGCCACCGUGCCGAGUUCUGCGGGGGAACCACAGACUGGCUGCUGGCCAGCGGGGGCUGGACGUGAUCACAGACAUGGUGAUGCGGCAUAUGGACAAAUUUCUUCUCAUACUGUUUUUCACCACAGGCUAU